Helianthus annuus (common sunflower) is the source of this 444-nucleotide long non-coding RNA. RefSeq lists it as uncharacterized. The record is from RefSeq and is a predicted model, not a curated record. The transcript has 3 exons. NCBI's taxonomy places the organism in Eukaryota, Viridiplantae, Streptophyta, Magnoliopsida, Asterales, Asteraceae.
UUUUUCUAUUGCUAUCUAUGGUGUUGGCUGUUUCUCUCAACCCGUUCCCAUCACCAAAACCGUUAUGGCUUGGGGCUCGACUCAUCUUGGGUGCAUCUGGGAUCAUCUUUCCAAUUAUCAAGUCGGAAGGAGUUCGACAAAUGUACUUCCCAGCAAUGGUUGCAGCAUACUACAAAGCUCCUCAAGUUGCUUAAUCAUCAAUCAUAUCUUGAGUUUUUAAUGUUGGAAUGGUAUUGGAAGUAGGGUCCUAAUCUUCAUUUGGGGAGGUUGUGAUUAUUGUUUGGUUUGAAGGUUUUUGGAUUUAGGUAUAUGCAAUGCCUAAAGAAGAUGAAUUGGUUAUUAUUGUUUGUUGCUUAUAGACUUAAAAUGAGAGUUUGUGUUUCGAAGUUAUGUGUAGUAACGAAUGUAUUAGCUGCGAUUGUGUUUGUGAAAUUUCUGAUUAAU